GACACUGUGGCGGAGUGGUUAACGCGGUGCCCUGCUACCUCCUUAAGUAGGCAUUGCCUUCGGCGCGCAGGUUCGAAUCCUGCCGGUGUCG
Molecule: transfer RNA, 91 nt
Filed under: Coccidioides immitis RMSCC 3703
Lineage: Eukaryota; Fungi; Ascomycota; Eurotiomycetes; Onygenales; Onygenaceae
Rfam family: tRNA
About the family: Transfer RNA (tRNA) molecules are approximately 80 nucleotides in length. Their secondary structure includes four short double-helical elements and three loops (D, anti-codon, and T loops). Further hydrogen bonds mediate the characteristic L-shaped molecular structure. tRNAs have two regions of fundamental functional importance: the anti-codon, which is responsible for specific mRNA codon recognition, and the 3' end, to which the tRNAs corresponding amino acid is attached (by aminoacyl-tRNA synthetases). tRNAs cope with the degeneracy of the genetic code in two manners: having more than one tRNA (with a specific anti-codon) for a particular amino acid; and 'wobble' base-pairing, i.e. permitting non-standard base-pairing at the 3rd anti-codon position.
Source: Rfam by way of RNAcentral